UCAGACGAUGCGUCAUGCAUAUCAAUAAGCGGAGGAAAAGAAACUAACAAGGAUUCCCCUAGUAACGGCGAGUGAAGCGGGAAGAGCUCAAAUUUGAAAUCUUAAAGGGUUUCCCUUUACGAAUUGUAGUUUAAAGAAGUGUUUUCUGUUGAGGUUUUGGUAAAAGUUCUUUGGAAUAGGACAUCAUAGAGGGUGAGAAUCCCGUAUUUGACCUUUACUUUCAACUUUGUGAUACACUUUCAAAGAGUCGGAUUGUUUGGGAAUGCAGUCCAAAAUGGGUGGUAAAUUUCAUCUAAAGCUAAAUAUUGGCGAGAGACCGAUAGCGAACAAGUACCGUGAGGGAAAGAUGAAAAGAACUUUGAAAAGAGAGUUAAACAGUACGUGAAAUUGUCAAAAGGGAAGCGUUUGACACCAGUGUUGUUUUUCUGAAAAUCAAUUAAAGAACUGUUUAUGCUAAGCUGUUUAGACUUUAUCAGCUAUCUGUUUAGUUUUGAGCUUUUCUUAAUGCACUUUUCAGUUAACAAGUCAACAUCAAUUUCUUUUGCUGUAAAAAAGCUUGAGGAAGGUGGCUUGAGAUUCGUCUUAAGUGUUUAUAGCCUCUUGCCUAUGCAGUCGGAGAGAUUGAGGUCUGCAGCGUAGAUCCUUCGGGGCUAAAUGCAUUUGUGCUAAGUUAUAACAUUUUAUAGACAACUUGUUGACUAUGAUUUGUCUUGUAGCUUACUCGCUUAUGUUAUUUUACCUACGCUUAGGAUGUUGAAUCUGUGCGAGACUAC
This 773-nucleotide ribosomal RNA is filed under the name uncultured Neocallimastigales. RNAcentral's name for it is "partial large subunit ribosomal RNA". It matches the Rfam family "Eukaryotic large subunit ribosomal RNA", at positions 18 to 644 of the family's 3401-position model. The record is from RNAcentral. Lineage: Eukaryota; Fungi; Neocallimastigomycota; Neocallimastigomycetes; Neocallimastigales.